Molecule: ribosomal RNA, 207 nt
Filed under: uncultured bacterium
Lineage: Bacteria
Description: partial 16S ribosomal RNA
Rfam family: Bacterial small subunit ribosomal RNA
Source: RNAcentral
UGCGUAGACGGUACAUUAAGUUCGUUGUUAAAGGCUCCGGCCUAACUGGAGUAUUGCAAUGAAAACUGGUGAGCUAGAGGGUGAGAGAGAGAAGUGGAAUUCCCGGAGUAGCGGUAAAAUGCGUGGAUCUCGGGAGGAACACCAAUGGCGAAGGCAGCUUCUUGGCUCAUUUCUGACGUUGAGGCACGAAAGCGUGGGGAGCAAACA